AACGCUAGCUACAGGCUUAACACAUGCAAGUCGAGGGGCAGCGCAGUGUAGCAAUACAUGGGCGGCGACCGGCGCACGGGUGCGUAACGCGUAUCCAACCUUCCCGUUACUCAGGGAUAGCCUUCCGAAAGGGAGAUUAAUACCUGAUGGUGUUCAAAUUCCGCAUGUUAUUUGAACUAAAGAUUUAUCGGUAACGGAUGGGGAUGCGUGACAUUAGAUAGUAGGCGGGGUAACGGCCCACCUAGUCUACGAUGUCUAGGGGUUCUGAGAGGAAGGUCCCCCACACUGGAACUGAGACACGGUCCAGACUCCUACGGGAGGCAGCAGUGAGGAAUAUUGGUCAAUGGUCGGAAGACUGAACCAGCCAAGUAGCGUGAAGGAUGAAGGUUCUAUGGAUUGUAAACUUCUUUUAUACGGGAAUAAAACCUCCCACGUGUGGGAGCUUGUAUGUACCGUAUGAAUAAGCAUCGGCUAACUCCGUGCCAGCAGCCGCGGUAAUACGGAGGAUGCGAGCGUUAUCCGGAUUUAUUGGGUUUAAAGGGAGCGUAGACGGGAGAUUAAGUCAGUUGUGAAAGGCUGCGGCUCAACCGCAGCACUGCAGUUGAUACUGGUUUCCUUGAGUUCGGUUGAGGUGUAUGGAAUUCGUGGUGUAGCGGUGAAAUGCUUAGAUAUCACGAAGAACUCCGAUUG
This 690-nucleotide ribosomal RNA is filed under the name uncultured Bacteroidales bacterium. Its description in RNAcentral is "bacterial SSU rRNA". It matches the Rfam family "Bacterial small subunit ribosomal RNA", at positions 32 to 715 of the family's 1533-position model. The record is from RNAcentral. Lineage: Bacteria; Pseudomonadati; Bacteroidota; Bacteroidia; Bacteroidales.